UCCAUCAACAUAGUUGCAUCCAUUCCUUCAUCUCUUUUUCUUUUUCUCAGCCUAGGAGCAAGACAAGGAAGAAAAGCUUGUGGAGUUAAGUUUUGCUGCUGAAGUUGCUAAUCAAGGGAGGGUUUUGGACCAUUAGAGUUGAGAAGGAAUUGAAGUUUGAGUUGUGAGGAGGAAUUAGAGUGCUGAAAGGUGGCCCUGUGGAGAUGUGGGUAAGUUAAUUCAGCAGCAAAUUGAGUCAUAAGUAGCAGCCUGGAUGUUUCCCAACUGGUAGAGGUGGCCGAACAGUAACCUGAGACUUUUGGUGCUGAGGAACUAUAGGAGUUCCUGCUAUUGCUGCUGCUGCAGUGAUGAAUUGGACCAUUUGAAGCUGAGGACAACUUGAUGUUAUAUCUAAUUAAGAUUGAGAUCUGGAGCUUUGAGUAGUUGAGCUGAAAGUGAGAAGUGCUGAAAUUACAGCUUUGGUGAAGCUUCUGUUGAUGUUCCGAGCUGAGAAGAAGCUUGAAGGAGAGCUUCAAUUAAGGUCGACGACGCGCUAAUUACGGUAGAGACCGUUCUAGUUCAAUUUACACCGAGUCGCAAGAGCUAAUUGUCGACACAUUUCGAGACGUGGAUUCUAGUUGUUGACACCACUACAGCUUGGUGGUGGUCGCUCCCCCCAAGCAGUGCACUCCGGAGGUUGUCACAUGAUGGGCUAAAGUAUUUGCCCAUGGACUAAAGUAUAUGUCCAGCAGACGGUCCCGUCGGGAGGCAGCUUAGGGCCCGCAAGGGAUUGAGUUGGUGAGUUGCAGUUAACCAAAUGGUUAGCUAGUUUGAUUGGGCAGUGGUAUAUUACAAUAUGCAUGCAUAUUUACAGUUUUCAUAUAUAUUAUUUCUUUCAGCUUUGUACAGGCAUUGUAGUAGUUACAUGUACAGU
This is a long non-coding RNA of Ananas comosus (pineapple), 913 nucleotides long. RefSeq lists it as uncharacterized. NCBI's taxonomy places the organism in Eukaryota, Viridiplantae, Streptophyta, Magnoliopsida, Poales, Bromeliaceae. The record is from RefSeq and is a predicted model, not a curated record. The transcript is spliced from 6 exons.